This is a long non-coding RNA of Suricata suricatta (meerkat), 207 nucleotides long. RefSeq lists it as uncharacterized. The transcript is spliced from 2 exons. NCBI's taxonomy places the organism in Eukaryota, Metazoa, Chordata, Mammalia, Carnivora, Herpestidae. The record is from RefSeq and is a predicted model, not a curated record.
CCGCCCCAGACACAAUAGCUGGAAAUAGCCUCAAGACCACAGAACUAGAAGAAAAACCUGGCACACUGACUUAAUCUCAUGCUUGAAAUUUCAAGAGGAAAUGAAGCCAUAUUCAAUAGCUGUUAAAAAUGUUCUGAUCAGUAUUCUAUCAGCUUGCAACUGGGUUCUGGGCUCUUUCUUUGUAAUACAAAUGUAAUGCUCCUGUGG